Molecule: ribosomal RNA, 330 nt
Filed under: uncultured soil bacterium
Lineage: Bacteria
Description: bacterial SSU rRNA
Rfam family: Bacterial small subunit ribosomal RNA
Source: RNAcentral
AGAUUGAACGCUGGCGGCAUGCCUUACACAUGCAAGUCGAACGGCAGCACGGGAGCAAUCCUGGUGGCGAGUGGCGAACGGGUGAGUAAUACAUCGGAACGUGCCCAAUCGUGGGGGAUAACGCAGCGAAAGCUGUGCUAAUACCGCAAUAAGAUCUACGGAUGAAAGCAGGGGAUCGCAAGACCUUGCGCGAAUGGAGCGGCCGAGUGGCAGAUUAGGUAGUUGGUGAGGUAAGGCUCACCAAGCCUUCGAUCUGUAGCUGGUCUGGAGAGGACGACCGAGCCACACGUGGGACUGAGACCGACCGGCCCAGACUCCGUACGGAGGCAG